UCUAAUGUGGCAGAUUAGUGCAAUAGAUUUAAGCUCUAUAAAUAAAGGUUUAACCUUUUAUUAGAA
This 66-nucleotide transfer RNA is filed under the name Sinopodisma pieli. Its description in RNAcentral is "tRNA-Leu". It matches the Rfam family "tRNA". Rfam says of the family: Transfer RNA (tRNA) molecules are approximately 80 nucleotides in length. Their secondary structure includes four short double-helical elements and three loops (D, anti-codon, and T loops). Lineage: Eukaryota; Metazoa; Arthropoda; Insecta; Orthoptera; Acrididae. The record is from RNAcentral.